This 306-nucleotide long non-coding RNA is filed under the name Elaeis guineensis (African oil palm). RNAcentral's name for it is "long non-coding RNA (EGUI_LNC071628)". Lineage: Eukaryota; Viridiplantae; Streptophyta; Magnoliopsida; Arecales; Arecaceae. The record is from RNAcentral.
UACACUAGUUUAGGAUAAAAAUAAGGAAAACAUCUCCGGUCCGUAGUGAAUAAUAUCUCAUCUAACGAACUAUGAGCCUCCAUAAUAGGACCGAUUAUAGAUCAUAAUUUUGGUUAGCAUUUAAUUAUUUACUUGGCAGGUCACCUAUUUUUAGCAUAAGGAGGAAUACAUAGCUUAGGAACCAUAUCCACGAGUCCAAUCAAAAAAAGAAGUAUAUUAAAUAUGAGGUAGGAUGUGAUUUCAGCAUUUGAUGCUUGUAAUUUUUAGCAUAAUCAGGAAUACAUGGUUUAGGAACCAUAUCCACGA